AAUCAAUGAACUUGAAAUAAGUAUAUAUUUUGAAAAUAUAAAAAAGAAUAAAAUUUUCUAUUGAUUU
RNAcentral lists this transfer RNA (67 nucleotides) under Cucujoidea sp. 1 KM-2017. RNAcentral describes it as "tRNA-Ser". Lineage: Eukaryota; Metazoa; Arthropoda; Insecta; Coleoptera. The record is from RNAcentral.